This 403-nucleotide ribosomal RNA is filed under the name Verrucomicrobiota bacterium. RNAcentral describes it as "Verrucomicrobia bacterium partial 16S ribosomal RNA". It matches the Rfam family "Bacterial small subunit ribosomal RNA", at positions 355 to 776 of the family's 1533-position model. Lineage: Bacteria; Pseudomonadati; Verrucomicrobiota. The record is from RNAcentral.
UGGGGAAUAUUGCACAAUGGAGGGAACUCUGAUGCAGCGACGCCGCGUGAACGAAGAAGGCUUUCGAGUCGUAAAGUUCUUUUAUAUGGGAAGAUAAUGACGGUACUAUAAGAAAAAGCCCCGGCUAACUACGUGCUAGCAGCCGCGGUAAUACGUAGGGGGCUAGCGUUGUCCGGAAUCACUGGGCGUAAAGGGUUCGCAGGCGGAAAUGCAAGUCAGGUGUAAAAGGCAGUAGCUUAACUACUGUAAGCAUUUGAAACUGCAUAUCUUGAGAAGAGUAGAGGUAAGUGGAAUUUUUAGUGUAGCGGUGAAAUGCGUAGAUAUUAAAAAGAAUACCGGUGGCGAAGGCGACUUACUGGGCUCAUUCUGACGCUGAGGAACGAAAGCGUGGGUAGCAAACAGG